GAUGAACGCUGGCGGCGUGCCUAAUACAUGCAAGUCGAGCGAACAGACGCGGCGCUUGCUCCUCUGACGAUAGCGGCGGACGGGUGAGUAACACGUGGAUAACCUACCUAUAAGACUGGGAUCACUUCGGGAAACCGGAGCUAAUACCGGAUAAUAUAUUGAACCGCAUGGGUCAAUGGUGAAUGACGGUUUUGCGGUCACUUAUCGAUGCAUCUGCGCCGCAUUAGCUAGUUGGUAAGGUAACGGCUUACCAAGGCAACGAUGCGUAGCCGACCUGAGAGGGUGAUCGGCCACACUGGAACUGAGACACGGUCCAGACUCCUACGGGAGGCAGCAGUAGGGAAUCUUCCGCAAUGGGCGAAAGCCUGACGGAGCAACGCCGCGUGAGUGAUGAAGGUCUUCGGAUCGUAAAACUCUGUUAUUAGGGAAGAACAAAUGUGUAAGUAACUAUGCACGUCUUGACGGUACCUAAUCAGAAAGCCACGGCUAACUACGUG
RNAcentral lists this ribosomal RNA (497 nucleotides) under uncultured bacterium. Its description in RNAcentral is "partial 16S ribosomal RNA". It matches the Rfam family "Bacterial small subunit ribosomal RNA", at positions 28 to 507 of the family's 1533-position model. The record is from RNAcentral.